UGAACGCUGGCGGCGUGCCUACUACAUGCACGUCGAGCGAACAGACGAGGAGCUUGCUCCUCUGACGUUAGCGGCGGACGGGUGAGUAACACGUGGAUAACCUACCUAUAAGACUGGGAUAACUUCGGGAAACCGGAGCUAAUACCGGAUAAUAUAUUGAACCGCAUGGUUCAAUAGUGAAAGACGGUUUUGCUGUCACUUAUAGAUGGAUCCGCGCCGCAUUAGCUAGUUGGUAAGGUAACGGCUUACCAAGGCAACGAUGCGUAGCCGACCUGAGAGGGUGAUCGGCCACACUGGAACUGAGACACGGUCCAGACUCCUAAGGGAGGCAGCAGUAGGGAAUCUUCCGCAAUGGGCGAAAGCUUGACGGAGCAACGCCGCGUGAGUGAUGAAGGUCUUCGGAUCGUAAAACUCUGUUAUUAGGGAAGAACAAAUGUGUAAGUAACUAUGCACGUCUUGACGGUACCUAAUCAGAAAGCCACGGCUAACUACGUG
Molecule: ribosomal RNA, 495 nt
Filed under: uncultured bacterium
Lineage: Bacteria
Description: partial 16S ribosomal RNA
Rfam family: Bacterial small subunit ribosomal RNA
Source: RNAcentral